RNAcentral lists this unclassified non-coding RNA (534 nucleotides) under Hevea brasiliensis (rubber tree). The record is from RNAcentral. Lineage: Eukaryota; Viridiplantae; Streptophyta; Magnoliopsida; Malpighiales; Euphorbiaceae.
CCGGAAGCAAUGGUGAUGACAAACUUCACUGGAACUGGUAUCGGUGUUGGUGCUGGCAUUGGUUGCGGAUUCGGUGUAGGAUGGGGUUUCGGAGGCAUGCCUUUGAAUUUCUUGGGUCUUGGUGUAGGUGGUGGCUGUGGGAUCGGAGUAGGCCUCGGAUGGGGAUUUGGCUCUGCCUUUGGUAGCCAGUACAGGAACUCUAGAGUUACAUUUGACGGCACAGAUUUUAUCAAUAAGGAGCGUAGUGAAGAAAGAGAUUUAAAAGAUCCAGCCAAAGGCACUGGAAAAGCUCUUUCUUCUCAGUAAAUAUACACAUCUUCUGUUGAUGCACUCAUAUUCUCACUUUCCAAAAUUUGUUAAAGUUGUACAACCAGUUCCAUUUCAGCUAUCACUUGGAAACAUAUGUAGUAUCAUUUGACACUUGACAGUACUCUCUUCUUUGAUGUCUAAAAUUUGUUUACUUAUGAUGCUUGGGAAAACUCGGUAGCUGAAGCUUUAGCUUAAAUUGGAAAUAUGAGUUUAAGCCGUGGAAGC